GGUUUAGGGGAAGGGGGUGGGGAGAGGAAGAGGGAAGAAGAACGAAAAAACAGGAGAGACAACACAUGGAAAGACAGAGGGAAAUUAAUCAGAGAGGAAGGUAUCUGUAGGUUAUAUCUGUCCUUGAGGCAGGGUGGUUAAAGUCCACAUGCUCCUGGGGGUGGUGUGUGUGUACUUGUGUUUUAACUGCUCUGUAGGGAAAAUUAUUCCACAUUGGAAGGAUUUAACAUCCCCCACCUUGGUUUGUGAGAUACACUCUCACUAUGUAGCCAAGGCCGUACGAAUUUGUGAUUCUUUUUACCUCAGCCUCCUGAAUGCUGGGAUUAGAGGCAUGUAUCACCAUGCCUGGCUGGAAAGAAUUCUUUCAUUGAAGCUGAGGGACAAGGGUGGUAGGCUCCAGGAUCGUGGCAUGGAAAAACGCUCAGGUGGAGCCCACACCACUUCCACUCGACCACGCUGCCUCAUCACAGCUUACAGGAAGGAUAGGCCCUCCACUCCUCACGUGGCUGUCUGGCUACAACAAAGCUUCCGGUGUGGCCUGCACACAUAGAGGGAGUACAUCUCCUCAGCCAGAAGUCUUUACAGUGGUACAGUGGAGCAGCUCUGGAAGCUGGGGUCGGGUCAGAGAAGCCAAAGGCACAGUGUGACUGAGUUCUAACAGGAUGAGUUAGAACUCUGGCUCAUGAGAGCAACAUGUUGAGCAGCCAUGUGAAGAGACAGAUGCCCAUGGAAGCACGCAGGUAUACUUAACAAGAUAUCAAUAAAAACUCAGUAAUUAUUAAUAGUCAUAAGAAGGAGCCACUAAGUUAUAAACAGAGACCACCUGCUCAGGUAAGACCAGGUAUUAUAAAGAAAACUUAAGUUUUAGAGGAUUAUAAUUCAAUCACCAGCAUCUUAGUAAGUUAUAGAUAAGGGAGAAAUCAGUAGUACCAUCUCAUUAAUUUGAUAGUCUAAGCAGACAUGUGGCAGGACUUUCCUAGGUUAAAAGUAUUGUUUUGGUUAAGAAUGGAAUGCAUGCAGCCCAAAAGACAGGGGACAGGACAGGAAGCAGAACUGAAGCUAGAACUGCCUAGCUUACUUAAGUUACAGGUCAUGAACUGCAUCAGUUAGACAGUAGAGGAAGCAACGAACAGGUAAAGGGAGAAGCUGUGGGCAGUGUUAACUGAUGACAGGGAAGAGGCCUGCACCCUCUGAAGGGGCAGCCACUGCCUGACCAAGCUCCCAUAACUUAUCUUCUGAGCAGUGCCAUGCAAUCCCAGCAUUGCAGUUCAAAGGUAUCUGUUCAUAGGAAAGACCAGGGCAUGGAAGAAAAGGACAUGGAAGUCAGAACCAAACCUGACCCUGGUGAAGACCUGAGAAGAACUGGCUGGCACUGGAGUCAGCAAACCUGACUCAAACCUACAUUUAUCCUAUCAUCAUGUGACCCUCAUCUACAAACUGAGGCAAUAGAAGUCAUGAAGAUUAUAUCAAUGGGCACAGGAGCUUAUCUAACACUUAACUACAGCAGUAAAUGUUUAAUUCAAAGGCUAUAAUUAAGUCUCAUCAAACCCAUCUUAAGACAAGGUCUUAGAAGGUCAAAUAAUUUGCUCAAAGCUAUUAAGAAAAAUAGCCUAUGCUUCAGUUACCCUCCCACUUCCGAGGCCAGUUCACACAACUAAGCAGGGUAAAUAGGAAAGGGAGUAACUGAUGAUACCCAGGAAGGCAGCUGCUAGGGAAGUGACUGGGUGAAGGCACAUGGUUUCCUGGGCAAGAGAAAGGACCUUCCUGCCAUGGGCUAUGGAAAUGAGCCCUUAAGAACAGCAACAGUAUCAGUAUCGCACAAGCAGGUGAUGAGCCAGCCCAGGCCAAGCUAUACAAUGUCCCUGGGAUAGGGGUGGUCUCUAACACUUAUUUCAAAAUGGGGAAGGAAAGCUACGAGGGAUACUGACCGUAGCCCAAGGAUAAGGUCACACAAUCGAGAACUGACUUCACCCUGAAAACAGCUUAAGCUCAAUAUAAGGACACAGAGGCAGAAGAAAGGCAAGAUGCCUAAUCCAGAGUGGGCUCUUCCUUUUCCAAUUGUUUAAAUUUAGGUACUUGUGGAAACUUAAGAGUCACCCAAAGGGAACAAAAACUGAUCUAGAACAUCCUGAGAAAGUUCAUUCAUAGCACUCAUUUUGCCAAACCUAAACAGCCCUGAGAUCCGAUCCCUAGUUAAGUCCAGAAGCUCCAUGGCAGAAAUACAGGGCUGAGGACCUGUGUCUGCACCCUGAGCAGUACAUGGCCCAGUUGGAGGUCAUGAGUCUUUUUAUUGUUGCUCUUGAAUGAGGGUCUCACUUUCGUCUAGGCUGGUCUCAAACUCUUGGCAAUCCUCCUGCCUGAACCCAUAGUACUGGACUUAGAUAAUUCACUACCACAUCUGACCCAAGUGAAGGUCUUAAAGAACUCAUUCCCAGAGUCUUCACAACUCCAUCAUAUUCCUAGUCCAGAACUCAAGAGUCCUUCUACUCAGCUCUAUUUGUGGCCCUGCUGUCAGUCAUCACAGGCACUAUGCAUGGCCAGUUCAGCGUGGCAACAGCCUUGAGCAAAGCAUCCAUCCAUGGGACCAAUAGUGUCAAUCUGGAAGCCAAAUUGAGAGGAUAGCUGGGAGUACAAGCCCUUGGCUCCUUUAGACUACGACAGAGGUGCCCAGGCCCUCUGGACUAUUCACAGAAAGAGGUCCAAGGCAUCCUUUGGCUAUAUCCCAGGACCUAAGUCCUGAGCCAGAUGGCAUCUUCUAAGAACGGGGUAUCCUCCUGA
Nannospalax galili (Upper Galilee mountains blind mole rat) is the source of this 2778-nucleotide long non-coding RNA. RefSeq lists it as uncharacterized. Lineage: Eukaryota; Metazoa; Chordata; Mammalia; Rodentia; Spalacidae. The record is from RefSeq and is a predicted model, not a curated record. The transcript has 2 exons.